UGGGGAAUAUUGCGCAAUGGCCGAAAGGCUGACGCAGCGACGCCGCGUGGGGGAUGAAGCAUUUCGGUGUGUAAACCCCUGUUGCUCGGGACGAACAACCUGUUUCGACAGGUCUGACGGUACCGGGUGAGGAAGCACCGGCUAACUCCGUGCCAGCAGCCGCGGUAAUACGGAGGGUGCGAGCGUUGUCCGGAAUCACUGGGCGUAAAGGGCGCGUAGGCGGUCUGUUAAGCGUGCGGUGAAAGCCCGGGGCUCAACCCCGGGUCUGCCGUGCGAACUGGCGGACUAGAGCACUGUAGAGGCAGGUGGAAUUCCGGGUGUAGCGGUGGAAUGCGUAGAGAUCCGGAAGAACACCGGUGGCGAAGGCGGCCUGCUGGGCAGUUGCUGACGCUGAGGCGCGACAGCGUGGGGAGCAAACA
RNAcentral lists this ribosomal RNA (419 nucleotides) under uncultured Gemmatimonas sp. RNAcentral's name for it is "bacterial SSU rRNA". It matches the Rfam family "Bacterial small subunit ribosomal RNA", at positions 355 to 774 of the family's 1533-position model. Lineage: Bacteria; Pseudomonadati; Gemmatimonadota; Gemmatimonadia; Gemmatimonadales; Gemmatimonadaceae. The record is from RNAcentral.